AUGCACGCUGGCGGCGUGCUUAACCCCUGCAGGUCGAACGAAGCACUUUAUUUGAUUUCCUUCGGGACUGAUUAUUUUGUGACUGAGUGGCGGACGGGUGAGUAACGCGUGGGUAACCUGCCUUGUACAGGGGGAUAACAGUUGGAAACGGCUGCUAAUACCGCAUAAGCGCACGGCAUCGCAUGAUGCAGUGUGAAAAACUCCGGUGGUAUAAGAUGGACCCGCGUUGGAUUAGCUAGUUGGUGAGGUAACGGCCCACCAAGGCGACGAUCCAUAGCCGACAUGAGAGGGUGACCGGCCACAUUGGGACUGAGACACGGCCCAAACUCCUACGGGAGGCAGCAGUGGGGAAUAUUGCACAAUGGGCGAAAGCCUGAUGCAGCGACGCCGCGUGAGCGAAGAAGUAUUUCGGUAUGUAAAGCUCUAUCAGCAGGGAAGAUAAUGACGGUACCUGACUAAGAAGCACCGGCUAAAUACGUG
This 480-nucleotide ribosomal RNA is filed under the name uncultured bacterium. RNAcentral describes it as "partial 16S ribosomal RNA". It matches the Rfam family "Bacterial small subunit ribosomal RNA", at positions 29 to 507 of the family's 1533-position model. The record is from RNAcentral.